Molecule: long non-coding RNA, 1407 nt
Organism: Dermochelys coriacea (leatherback sea turtle)
Lineage: Eukaryota; Metazoa; Chordata; Testudines; Dermochelyidae
Exons: 2
Source: RefSeq, a predicted model, not a curated record
GCCGGAUUGUUCCCCGCGGGCUCCUCCCCGCCCAGCAGCCGCCGAGUCAGCGCCAGGAAGGGAAACACCCGGGUGCUGCUGCAGGGGGCGGCCAAGGCAGAGCCCGGCCGGCCUCCCUCCGCUUCCCCGGGGCGGCUAAUGCGGCCGGGUCCUUCCUGGGCGGAGCCUGGCGCCUGAUGUGGGGCGGGGCGGGCCCCUGGGGGCGGGGCUUCUGCCUCGCUUGGUUUUUAAUUUCCCUCCCGAGAGCGCGAUUGGCUCCCGGUUCCCCAAUCGGCUUUAAAAAAAAAAAAAGCUGUAAAGGCUCGUUACUGCGCCUGCGCGGGUUUUGGUUUCGCUUUGGGGAUUCCCCGGCUGCUGCUGCUGCUGCAGCGCCGCCUGGCUCGGGUGCAGGGGCCUUGACUUGCUCGCGUGCUUGGGGUGCUGGUACAUCAUCCCCACCGCCAGCCUGCCCCUACGUUCCUGACCUCAGGAAAGUGGAACUACCCCUGUUCCACUGCCCGGAGGGAGCCAUGGCUGCUGAGAGCACCCUGGAAAGUCUCCAAGAGGAAGAGACGUGUCCCGUCUGUCUGGAGUAUUUCACAGACCCUGUCACUCUGGAAUGUGGGCACAAUUUCUGCUGAGCCUGCAUCACCCAGUGCUGGGAAGGAUCUGACACAGCCGCCUCCUGCCCUCAGUGCAGAGAAAUUGUGCAACAGAGAAAUCUCAGGCCUAACAGGCAGCUGGCAAACAUGGUAGUUCCCCCUGCCAUUAGCUAUUCUGAACCCCACUCUGUGACACCCCCCCAGCAGCACCCUGUGCCCCGCUCUGUCCUACCCUGGCUGCGUGCUGCUGGAUGUUCUGGCACCACAGUGGUCUCUGGUGGGUGAAAGAUGGAACAACAUCACUUCUCUGGCAGAAUGUAGUUUCUGUGGGGGGAAAAAAUUCUGCAGCCGGAAAUGAAUUCUGUGUUUCCGCAGUAGCUCAGAAUUCCCCUGGGAGUAUAUAUUGCAAUGAUGAAUGUCACUGCAUCUAAAUUUUAGCUGUCUAGACAUUUACUGGAAUAACACUGUGAGCCACAGAGCCUGAGUUAUGGGGAGAUGUAAGUGUCUUAGAAUGGGAUCCACAAAAGCCAGCCUACUAGAUAGGAAACUGCCUAACCUAACUGAUGGGAGAUGCUGAUCAGAGGUGCAUUGUACAGAGGGGUCUAGGGACCUAACUCAGCUUUGUGGAUUGCAGGGCUGUUCCUAUGACUCUCUAGUGCCUAUUGUCUCUUGAUAAAUUUUGUUCCUGAUAUAAAAUCCCCAAAAUACAGAAAAAACAAAAGCAACUUUUCUCUUCUUAGGAUCCAAUUUGGAGAGUUUGAAAAGGGAGGGAGAUGAGAAUGGUGUUUAACUAGAGUGGCAAGAAGGAAUAUCCAGAAAUUGCUGG